AAAUGCAGAGUCUCAGGCCCCACCCCAGACCUACUCAGAAACUCUGGGAGUGGAGACCAGAAAUCUGCAUUUUAACAAGUCCCCCAGUUGAUUCUAAU
This 98-nucleotide microRNA precursor is filed under the name Choloepus hoffmanni (Hoffmann's two-fingered sloth). RNAcentral's name for it is "miRNA (ENSCHOG00000014985.1)". The record is from RNAcentral. Lineage: Eukaryota; Metazoa; Chordata; Mammalia; Pilosa; Megalonychidae.